UUCAUAGAAGGUGAUCUGGUGCAGUAAUUUUUUAGUUAAUUAAUUGCUAGUACUUGAAAMCCCAAAUCACUUCGGUCUGCCUAGUUCAGCUUCUCAGAAAAAUAACUGUUCCGAGCAGCGUGUCGACAAAAUUCAACUUGUUUUGAGUUUUGCACAUUAGCGUUCUUUUUUAUCUUGUUAUUUCAACUUGUUGCAGUAUGUGUGACACAUGAUACCUGUUUCAGGAAAACCCAGCAGUUGCUGUGUUUCUGUUGGCUAAACUUUGUAAAACUUCAUUAUGCUGUGUACCUGUGAUUUAUACCACACAUUAUGAUGUGUAUCUGUGACACUGUGAUUUACACCACACAUUAUGCUGUGUAGAUGUGACACAUGAUACCUGUUUCACUGAGACCGAAGUUCCUGCAUUUGAAAUAUGGUUUCACUGAGACCAAAUUUUGUUCUCUUGGCUGGCCCUUAGGCGCCUCUUAAAUCUGGUUUUGCUCUUUUCUGUUAAGUUUGGGUGUGAUUGUCUGAACUUGUUCGUCAGUCUCCGGUAGCCCGCAAGGUGCCUGCUCGCGGAUACAUGGAAGAUCUUCCUAACCGCAAGCCGAUCCAGUUAAGCUGAAUUAUCCAGACCGAAGUGAUUCUGGAACAGUUAAAAUUUACAGUUAAUUCUCUCUUAUCUCUUCUUCUCUCUUAGUGUACUGCUGAUGUUAAAUUUCAGUUAAUUAAUUGAAUCUCCUUUUCUUUGGUUCUUGUUUAUGCAGUUCUUGUUUAUGCGGAGAGGCACCGAGCCAGCUGCUAGUGUCCUGUGCUGCUGGCAGUUGUGAGCACCUUCUUAUCUUUCUUUCUGCUUGUUUAGAAUUGUUGGCUAGAAACAGAACAUUCAUUUUGGAGUACUUCAGUAGCAGUAGUAAAUAUCACCAUUUCGCUUCAAAUUCAGUUGACAAUCACUUGUUCACAUUACUGCCAAAUAUUGAUAGAGUUGUUGCCAAAUUCAGGUUGAUGAGAUGAAUGUGGGCAUCAACCGACCUCAGCAGCAGCUCCAGAAAUAGCCUCCACCUGGGUGUGCCGUGUGCAGCACCACCACCACCAGUAGCAGCAACAGCUCUAGGAUAAGGCCUAAAGGUGGAGUGGAGGAGUGCGUUGUGCAGCAGCAGCACCACCAGUAGUAGCAGCAGCUCGGGAGAGGAGGAUCACCUGAGCCUGGAAGUGGAGGCUCUCGGACCUGGGUGUAGUCUUGGAGGUGGAGGCGCCAGGAUCAGGGUGGAGGUGGACGUGGACGUGGAGGUUGAGGGCGGGGCCGGAGGUGGAGGUCGAGGGCGAGGGCGGACCGCCGGAGGUGGA
Molecule: long non-coding RNA, 1326 nt
Filed under: Hordeum vulgare
Lineage: Eukaryota; Viridiplantae; Streptophyta; Magnoliopsida; Poales; Poaceae
Description: long non-coding RNA (HVUL_LNC008598)
Source: RNAcentral